GGGGUUGUAGCUCAGUGGUACAGCACUUGCCUUGCAUGCAUGAGGAACUGGGUUCAAUCCCCAGCACCACA
RNAcentral lists this transfer RNA (71 nucleotides) under Marmota monax (woodchuck). Its description in RNAcentral is "tRNA.Ala". It matches the Rfam family "tRNA". From Rfam's summary of the family: Transfer RNA (tRNA) molecules are approximately 80 nucleotides in length. Their secondary structure includes four short double-helical elements and three loops (D, anti-codon, and T loops). The record is from RNAcentral. Lineage: Eukaryota; Metazoa; Chordata; Mammalia; Rodentia; Sciuridae.